This 508-nucleotide ribosomal RNA is filed under the name uncultured Lachnospiraceae bacterium. RNAcentral's name for it is "partial 16S ribosomal RNA". The record is from RNAcentral. Lineage: Bacteria; Bacillati; Bacillota; Clostridia; Lachnospirales; Lachnospiraceae.
CACGUAGUUAGCCGGGGCUUCUUAGUCAGGUACCGUCAUCUUCUUCCCUGCUGAUAGAGCUUUACAUACCGAAAUACUUCCUCACUCACGCGGCGUCGCUGCAUCAGGGUUUCCCCCAUUGUGCAAUAUUCCCCACUGCUGCCUCCCGUAGGAGUUUGGGCCGUGUCUCAGUCCCAAUGUGGCCGUCCACCCUCUCAGGCCGGCUACUGAUCGUAGGCUUGGUAGGCCUCUACCCCUGCCAACUACCUAAUCAGACGCGGGCCCAUCUUACACCACCGGAGUUUUUACCACCCUGCCAUGCGGCAAUGUGGUCUUAUGCGGUAUUAGCAGUCAUUUCUAACUGUUAUCCCCCUGUGUAAGGCAGGUUGCCCACGCGUUACUCACCCGCCCGCCGCUCAGUCACUUCCUCGUCCCUCCGAAGAGUUCUAAUGAAGUGCUUCGCUCGACUUGCAUGUGUUAGGCACGCCGCCAGCGUUCAUCCUGACGCCAGGAUACGAAACUCUUACCG